CAAUAAACGAGACUUGAUCAGAAAGCCUGUCUUGUCUCCAUUCUUCGCGUCUCUUGUCCCCAUCCCCUUUUUUCUCCCUUCAGGCCCUCGUGGUGUCCCGCAGGCCGGGACAGAUGGCGCCCAACGUGGGGCUCGAAGGUUUGUGGAUUUUGGGAAUGGCCUUUUGUCAGAUGUACCUCUGAGAAUUAAGCUGCAGCCUAGACAAUAGUGACGGUGGUCGCCGCGGGAGUGCCCGCCCCGAGGAAUUGAGACCUGAGGUUUCUGCAUGAUCAACCCUGAAGACAAGGACAACAAGAUCAUACCCGGGAAAAGCAUUGCAGAACAGUACACUUGAGAAGAAGUACGAGUAAUGAGGGCAAAGAAGAAAGACCACACAAGAGGGCUUGUGGAAGAGGUGAAAAAUAAAGACUGAAUGACUCUUCCAGGGGCAGAGCCAAGAUGACAGAGUACAGGAAACAUUCAGCCAACAUUCCCAACAUUCCCCACUAAACAAUUUUAAAAUAAUGCCUUAAAUAAAA
Molecule: non-coding RNA, 518 nt
Organism: Phascolarctos cinereus (koala)
Lineage: Eukaryota; Metazoa; Chordata; Mammalia; Diprotodontia; Phascolarctidae
Source: RefSeq, a predicted model, not a curated record